This 363-nucleotide long non-coding RNA is filed under the name Phoenix dactylifera (date palm). RNAcentral's name for it is "long non-coding RNA (PDAC_LNC007565)". Lineage: Eukaryota; Viridiplantae; Streptophyta; Magnoliopsida; Arecales; Arecaceae. The record is from RNAcentral.
GUGAACCAACAUGAGCAAGUCAUAUUAGAUUAAUUGAUCUAAUUGGUGUCUAGGAAAGCAUGAAAGGUGGUUACUUAAUUAGGACCUUACUCUCCGAGUAAGGGGAGCCUCCCACCUGCUUACCUGGCCAAUUGUUCGAUUACCUCUUAUGAAGAGCUCAAGGUUGCAAACACUAAGACAUGAUUAACCAAUAUUAAGUCAAUAGGUCUUCCACUGUAGUAGAGCUGCUAAGGUCUUUCUGAUGUUGAUUUGUCUCGGUUGGACACAGUGGGCAAGUUGCAUCGGGGGGCUGGACCUCUCUAUAGACAUGAGAUGUUGUAGGGUAAAGGUGGGGUUGGGCACCAAUAACUAUUAGGUGAGGAC